Molecule: ribosomal RNA, 253 nt
Filed under: uncultured bacterium
Lineage: Bacteria
Description: partial 16S ribosomal RNA
Rfam family: Bacterial small subunit ribosomal RNA
Source: RNAcentral
UACGUAGGGGGCAAGCGUUGUCCGGAAUCAUUGGGCGUAAAGAGCGUGUAGGCGGCCAGAUAAGUCCGCUGUGAAAUCUCGAGGCUCAACUUCGAGCUGUCGGUGGAAACUGUCUGGCUAGAGUCCGGAAGAGGAGAAUGGAAUUCCUGGUGUAGCAGUGAAAUGCGUAGAUAUGCGGAGGAACACCGAUGGCGAAGGCAGCCUCCUGGGAUAACACUGACGCUCAUGCACGAAAGCGUGGGGAGCAAACAGG